RNAcentral lists this ribosomal RNA (265 nucleotides) under uncultured bacterium. RNAcentral's name for it is "partial 16S ribosomal RNA". It matches the Rfam family "Bacterial small subunit ribosomal RNA", at positions 793 to 1055 of the family's 1533-position model. The record is from RNAcentral.
GUCCACGCCCUAAACGAUGCCAACUAGGUGUUGGGGAAGGAGACUUCCUUAGUACCGUAGCUAACGCGUGAAGUUGGCCGCCUGGGGAGUACUGUCGCAAGAUUAAAACUCAAAGGAAUUGACGGGGACCCGCACAAGCGGUUGAUGAUGUGGAUUAAUUCGAUGCAACGCGAAAACCUUACCUACCCUUGACAUGCCAGGAACUUUCCAGAGAUGGAUUGGUGCUCGAAAGAGAGCCUGGACACAGGUGCUGCAUGGCUGUCGU